CCUACGGGAGGCAGCAGUGAGGAAUAUUGGUCAAUGGACGCAAGUCUGAACCAGCCAUGCCGCGUGCAGGAAGACGGCUCUAUGAGUUGUAAACUGCUUUUGUACGAGGGUAAACGCAGAUACGCGUAUCUGUCUGCAAGUAUCGUACGCAUAAGGAUCGGCUAACUCCGUGCCAGCAGCCGCGGUAAUACGGAGGAUUCCAGCGUUAUCCGGAUUUAUUGGGUUUAAAGGGUGCGUAGGCGGUUUGAUAAGUUAGAGGUGAAAUCUCGAGGCUCAACUUCGGAAUUGCCUCUGAUACUGUGCGGCUAGAGAGUAGUUGCGGUAGGCGGAAUGUAUGGUGUAGCGGUGAAAUGCUUAGAGAUCAUACAGAACACCGAUUGCGAAGGCAGCUUACCAAGCUACUUCUGACGCUGAGGCACGAAAGCGUGGGGAGCAAACAGGAUUAGAUACCCCUGUAGUC
Molecule: ribosomal RNA, 460 nt
Filed under: uncultured bacterium
Lineage: Bacteria
Description: partial 16S ribosomal RNA
Rfam family: Bacterial small subunit ribosomal RNA
Source: RNAcentral